UUAUUUCUAACAAAUCUCAUAAAACCUUCAAGGUUGGGAGGUGGUUGUGUUGGCGCUGGUGGAAAUGAAGCUUGUUCAUCGCCACUUCCGGGUGAAUUUGCUUCUUGAGCAAAUUCUGCUAUCAUUUCUUCAUACGCCUCAUCUAUUUCUGGUUGUGAUUCUGCAAGGCCAAAGUUCCUUCUUUCUGCGCGAAUCCAAUCUCGAAAAAGCACUGAUUUUUCCAAGCUG
This 228-nucleotide long non-coding RNA is filed under the name Nicotiana benthamiana. RNAcentral describes it as "long non-coding RNA (NBEN_LNC000994)". Lineage: Eukaryota; Viridiplantae; Streptophyta; Magnoliopsida; Solanales; Solanaceae. The record is from RNAcentral.